UCCACUUUCCAGCAAACUUCGACGAGUAGUCGUUAAAAUGCUCAGGCAAAGAGAAAUUUGAACAUCUAUACUGACAACUGGGCAAAUUCCAUCUGCUGAAGAAGAUUGUGGGAUACAAGGGGGUUAGGAUUCGUUCAGUGUUCAUUGUACCGAGAUCUACAUCAUCUGCAGAGGUCUCCUCUCCGGAAAAAACAGUUAAGCAGUUUAAUGCUAAAAAUCAGUGUUUCUCCAAUGCUGUUCGGCAGACACUGGACACUGCAAACCAUAGCUGCUGCUAACAUUUGCUUAGCAUGUUUCUCUGGGAAAGAGAAGUUUGGGGUUCCCUGCUGGAGCUGCUCCCCCCGCGACCCGAUCCCGGAUAAGCGGAUGAAGAUGGAUGGAUGGAUGGAUGGUUUCUCUGAUAACUUAAGAUCCAGACGUCUGAUGACUAAAAUCCUUCAUCGAUUAAACAGGCGGAUGACAAGGAAAGGAAUGCAGCAGAUUCAGGCGGUCUGCGAAGUGAAGAGUCAGAGGGGGGGCCAGAGGAGGCGGCUCCCCGGACAGCAUGAUUCAUCCUCUGCUUUCUCUUUUGUGUGUGUACGUGUGUGUCACUACCAUACACAUGGCAGGCAUGCCGAUGGAGCCGGGGAGGAACAUUCUGGAAAAGAGGGACAUGUAGAGCUGAGUUACAGUACAAUAUGCGGCUGUGGUGGUGGUGAUAGACAAUGGAAGAGUGCAAAUGCAAGAUUACUGGACAUACACUGUUAGCCAGCGACAAUGCAAAGGGCUUCAAUCUGUCAGUGGAGAACACACAGCUGAAAAUAAUUACUGCAGAGCAAUGGUCUGCAUGAGUGAGCUUCACUGACCACAACACUACAGUUACAAUUCACUCGUCAUAAAAUUGUCAGGUGACUGAAGAAUAAAAACAUACAUCACA
Molecule: long non-coding RNA, 916 nt
Organism: Micropterus dolomieu (smallmouth bass)
Lineage: Eukaryota; Metazoa; Chordata; Actinopteri; Centrarchiformes; Centrarchidae
Exons: 2
Source: RefSeq, a predicted model, not a curated record